This is an RNA transcript of Elephantulus edwardii (Cape elephant shrew), 2469 nucleotides long. It is a transcript of the gene named inositol polyphosphate 5-phosphatase OCRL-1-like, with no coding region annotated. The record is from RefSeq and is a predicted model, not a curated record. The transcript has a single exon. NCBI's taxonomy places the organism in Eukaryota, Metazoa, Chordata, Mammalia, Macroscelidea, Macroscelididae.
CCUGGAGGCCUCCUGGAUGGAGCCGCUGCUCCGGAUCGAAGCUCAGCCCCUGGCCACUGUGGAGGGUGUGGAAAUGAGGGGGCCUCACCAGGAGCCCUGCUCCCUAACUCUAGCCCAGAGGAAAGGGCAAUAUGAGUUCAUAAUCCAGUUGCACAAAAAGGAACAGCGUGUUCAAGAUAUCAUUCCUAUAAAUAGCCACUUUAGAAGUGUUCAAGAAACAGAAGAAACUCUUUUGAUUGACACAGCAUCAAGCAGUGGCUGCAAAAUUUGGUUUCAGGGGGACUGGAGCAGAGAGCGCCGCUUUGAAAUCCCUGAUGAAGAACUCUGCUUGAAGUUUCUUUCAGAAGUCCUUGCUGCUCAGGAAGCUCAGUUACACCUUCUUGUUCCAGAGCAAAAGGAGUCAUCCAGUUGGUACCAGAAAUUAGACACUAAAGAUAAGCCUGGGUUUUCAGGGCCUUUUGGAUUUGAGGAUAAUUUUUUCAGCUAUGAAUUUGGACAAGAGAAGAAAUACACAAAAUCAGCCUACAGGGACUCACCGGAAACCCCCACCUCCACCCUGCUCCGUCAGUAAAAUGCUACCACGUGAAAAAGAAGUAACUAACAAGGAACAGCCCAAAGUGACCAACACCAUGCUCUUUGUCCCAAGUAACCAGUCUGGGCAGAGGAAGGGUCUCAUCAAGCAUAUCCUGGCAAAGCGUGAGAAAGAAUGUGUUAACAUUCAGGCUUUCAAAUUUUUCGUUGGAACUUGGAGUGUGAAUGGCCAGUGUCCAGACAGUGGAUUAGAACCUUGGCUCAAUUGCGACUUGAAUCCUCCUGAUGUCUACUGAAUUGGAUUCCAGGAACUGGACUUGAGCACAGAAGCCUUUUUCUAUUUUGAAUCUGUAAAGGAGCAAGAGUGGUCCAUGGCUGUAGAAAGAGGUUUGCACUCUAAAGCCAAGUAUAAGAAAGUUCAACUAGUCCGCCUUGUUGGUAUGAUGCUCCUUAUAUAUACCAGGAAGGACCAAUGGCGGCAUAUCAGUGAUGUUAUCACAGAAACAGUUGGAACCGGAAUCAUGGGAAAAAUGGGCAACAAGGGCGGGGUGGCUGUGAGAUUUGUAUUUCACAACACUACAUCCUGCAUUGUCAAUUCUCACCUGGCUGCCCACCUGGAGGACUUUGAGAGACGGAACCAAGAUUAUAAGGACAUCUGUGCUCGAAUGAGUUUUGUGGUCCCAAAUCAGACUGUCCCUCAGCGGAACAUCACGAAACACGAUGGGAAAUGUCGAGUUCCAGCCUGGUGUGACAGAAUUCUUUGGAGAGGAGCAAAUGUUAGUCAACUUCAUUACCAGAGUCACAUGGAACUGAAAACCAGUGAUCACAAACCUGUGAUCGCGCUCUUCAAUAUUGGGGUAAAGGUUGUGGAUGAACGGAGGUAUCGGAAAGUCUUUGAAGAUAUUGUCUGCAUCAUGGACAGGAUGGAAAAUGAAUUCCUUCCUUCGGUAGAACUCAGCAGAAGGGAAUUUGUGUUUGAGAAUGUGAAGUUUUGGCAACUGCAAAAGGAGAAGUUCCCUGCCAUUUUUCUUUCAUCCCUAAACUUAAUGACAGCCAGUACUGCAAGCCAUGGCUUCGGGCUGAACCUUUUGAGGGCUACUUGGAGCCAAAUGUAACUAUAGACAUUUCCCUUGAUGUGUAUGUCAGCAAAGACUCUGUAACUAUCCUGAACUCAGGGGAAGAUAAGAUUGAAGAUAUUCUUGUCCUUCACCUGGAUCAAGGCAAAGAUUACUUCCUGAAGAUCAGUGGAAAUUACCUCCCAAGUUGCUUUGGAACAUCCUUAGAGGCUUUGUGCCGAAUGAAGAGAUCUAUUCAAGAAGUUCCUAUUACCAAACUCAUAGACUUGGAAGAAGACAGCUUCCUAGAAAAGGAGGAAUCUCUCUUCUGUAGAUGGUUCCCUUGGAAGAAGGUGCUAGUGAGAGGUCUCUUCAGGUCCCCAAGGAGAUCUGGCUCCUAGUUGAUCACUUAUUUAAAUACACCUGCCACCAGGAGGACCUAUUCCAGACCCCUGGCAUGCAAGAGGAGUUACAGCAGAUCAUAGACUGUCUGGAUACCAGCAUUCCCGAGACGAUCCCUGGCAGUAAUCACUCAGUGACUGAAGCACUGCUCAUUUUCCUGGAAGCCCUGCCAGAGCCAGUCAUCUGUUACGAGCUGUAUCAGUGUUGCCUCGACUCUGCCCAUGACCCUUGGGUCUGGCGGCAGGUGAUUUCACAACUUCCAAGAUGCCAUAGAAACGUUUUCCAUUACUUGAUGGCUUUCCUUCGAGAACUCUUGAAAUUCUCGGAAUACAACAAUGUCAGCGCCAACAUGAUCACUACUCUCUUCACUAGUCUUCUCCUAAGGCCACCACUCAACCUCAUGGCAAGACAGACUCCAAGCAACCGCCAGCAUGCUAUCCAGUUCCUUCUGAGUUUCCUGCUGGGGAAUGAUGAAGACUAA